This 1301-nucleotide ribosomal RNA is filed under the name Chrotogonus sp. TAMUIC IGC OR284. RNAcentral describes it as "16S ribosomal RNA". The stretch from base 866 to 1229 matches the Rfam family "Archaeal large subunit ribosomal RNA", at positions 2150 to 2716 of the family's 2987-position model. The record is from RNAcentral. Lineage: Eukaryota; Metazoa; Arthropoda; Insecta; Orthoptera; Pyrgomorphidae.
UUUUGAUUCUAUUAUUAUUUUGGUUGAUAUUAUGAAUAUAUAAUAGAAAUAUCUUUAUAGGGUUAUGUCUUAGUAUUUUAUAGAAUUGAUUUUAUAAAUUAUAGUUUAUUAGUAAUGUAAAUGGAUUAUUGAAUUUUUAUAAAAUAUAAUUAGUACUUUUGUUUUAGGGUACCUUUUGUAUCAGGGUUGAUCAAUAUAAUGUAAUUAUUUACAUUUCUCGAUUUAGGUUGAUUUAUAACUUAGUUGAUUUUAUUGUUACAAAAAUAUUUGUAAUUAAGUUAUAGAAAUGAUAUGUUAUUCGUUUCCUAAGUUAUCUAGUUCUUUAAGAUAAAAUUUAAUUUUAUGUAUUUUUUGAUUAUUUACAAAUUUUUGUUUAAGAUUAAGAAAUAAGUUAUUCUUUAGGGGAUAAGCUCUGGAGUCAUUAAUUCUAAAAUAUUAGUAUUCAAGGAUUGAAUAGUAAGCUUUAAACCAGCUAUCUUAGAUUACGUUUUAGUUCAUUAUCAAUUAUUUGAUUUUAUAGUUUUUUUAGAUGUUAAAUUAAAGUAUUUUAAUAAAUUUUAAAUUAUUAGUAAUAAUGAUUGAAUUAGUAUAUAUAAUUGUUUAUUUUUUUGUUUUUGGAAAUUCAUAUUAAGGAACUAGGCAAAUUUUCUCCCCGCCUGUUUAACAAAAACAUGUCUUUUUGAUAAAAAUUUAAAGUCUGACCUGCUCAAUGAUAAAUUUAAAUAGCCGCGGUAUUUUGACCGUGCAAAGGUAGCAUAAUAAUUAGUCUUUUAAUUGUAGGCUUGAAUGAAGGGUUUGACGAGGGAGGGACUGUCUCAUUAUGAUUAAUAAAAUUUAACUUUUAAGUUAAAAGGCUUAAAUUAGUCUUUAGGACGAGAAGACCCUAUAGAUCUUUAUAAUUUGAUUAUAAUCAAUUUUUAGUUAAUUUAUUUUGUUGGGUAAUUAAUUUAUUUUGUUGGGGUGACAUAAAGAAUAGAUAAACUCUUUAUAUUAAAAUCAUUAAUUUAUGAUAGAUUGAUCCAUAAUUUGUGAUUAUAAGAAUAAGUUACCUUAGGGAUAACAGCGUAAUUGUUUUUUAGAGUUCAUAUCAACGAAGCAGAUUGCGACCUCGAUGUUGGAUUAAGAAAAGUGUUAGGUGCAUCAGUCUAAUAACUAGGUCUGUUCGACCUUUAAAUUCUUACAUGAUCUGAGUUCAGACCGGCGUGAGCCAGGUUGGUUUCUAUCCUAAGAAUAUAAAAUUAUAUUAGUACGAAAGGACCAUAUAGUUGAAAUAUUUUUUGUUAUUUGAUUUCUAUUAAAUU